RNAcentral lists this transfer RNA (85 nucleotides) under Felis catus (domestic cat). It matches the Rfam family "tRNA". From Rfam's summary of the family: Transfer RNA (tRNA) molecules are approximately 80 nucleotides in length. Their secondary structure includes four short double-helical elements and three loops (D, anti-codon, and T loops). The record is from Rfam by way of RNAcentral. Lineage: Eukaryota; Metazoa; Chordata; Mammalia; Carnivora; Felidae.
GCCUGAGUGGUUUAGUCGGUUUAGCAUCUGACUUCGACUCAGGUCAUGAUCUCACGGUUCGUAGGUUCAAGCCCCGCGUCGGGCU